AAUAGAUACCCCGGUAGCCCACGCCGUAAACGAUGAAUACUAGGUGUGGGGGUUGUCAUGACCUCCGUGCCGCCGCUAACGCAUUAAGUAUUCCGCCUGGGGAGUACGGUCGCAAGAUUAAAACUCAAAGGAAUUGACGGGGGCCCGCACAAGCAGCGGAGCAUGUGGUUUAAUUCGAAGCAACGCGAAGAACCUUACCUAGACUUGACAUCUCCUGAAUUACUCUGUAAUGGAGGAAGCCCUUCGGGGCAGGAAGACAGGUGGUGCAUGGUUGUCGUCAGCUCGUGUCGUGAGAUGUUGGGUUAAGUCCCGCAACGAGCGCAACCCUUAUUGUUAAGUUGCUACCAUUUAGUUGAGCACUCUAGCGAGACUGCCCGGGUUAACCGGGAGGAAGGUGGGGAUGACGUCAAAUCAUCAUGCCCCUUAUGUCUAGGGCUACACACGUGCUACAAUGGCUGGUACAGAGAGAUGCAAUACCGCGAGGUGGAGCCAAACUUCAAAACCAGUCUCAGUUCGGAUUGUAGGCUGAAACUCGCCUAC
Molecule: ribosomal RNA, 540 nt
Filed under: uncultured bacterium
Lineage: Bacteria
Description: bacterial SSU rRNA
Rfam family: Bacterial small subunit ribosomal RNA
Source: RNAcentral